Molecule: long non-coding RNA, 257 nt
Filed under: Ananas comosus (pineapple)
Lineage: Eukaryota; Viridiplantae; Streptophyta; Magnoliopsida; Poales; Bromeliaceae
Description: long non-coding RNA (ACOM_LNC036070)
Source: RNAcentral
UAUAAAAUUAUAAAAAUACCAUUCUGUACCAUAAGAGUAGUAGCUGGACUCUAUAUUAUAUAUAUGAGUUGAGCUAAAUACUCCUAAAAGCACCAGUCUAUUGGUGCUUUUAGGUUUCUAGCUCUUAAAUCUAUCGCUUGAUUAUUAAUAACUUUUGGAUCAAAUACUAUUUCACCUACCACCACUCAAGCUAUUAUCAUCCUGACCCUACAGUUCCUCCGUCCAAGUACUACAAAUUUAGAAGCACAAAUUCGCUU